GAUGAACGCUAGCUGGAGGCUUAAUACAUGCAAGUCGAGCGGGAUCGGGUAGCAAUACCCAUGAGAGCGGCGCACGGUUGAGUAACGCGUACACGACCUACCUCUAACAGGGGGAUAGCCCUGGGAAACUGGGAUUAAUACCGCAUAUCAUUCUGAAUAAUAAAGGUUUGGAAUGAAAGCUGAGGCGGUUAGAGAUGGGUGUGCGUCUGGUUAGCUAGUUGGUAGGGUAACGGCCUACCAAGGCGAUGAUCAGGAGGGGGCGUGAGAGCGUGGUCCCCCACACGGGUACUGAGACACGGACCCGACUCCUACGGGAGGCAGCAGUAAGGAAUAUUGGUCAAUGGGCGAAAGCCUGAACCAGCCAUCCAGCGUGCAGGAAGAAGGCCCUAUGGGUUGUAAACUGCUUUUAUCAGGGAAGAAACCUCUGGAUUUACUCCGGAGCUGACGGUACCUGAAGAAUAAGCACCGGCUAACUCCGUGCCAGCAGCCGCCGUAA
This 496-nucleotide ribosomal RNA is filed under the name uncultured bacterium. RNAcentral's name for it is "partial 16S ribosomal RNA". It matches the Rfam family "Bacterial small subunit ribosomal RNA", at positions 28 to 523 of the family's 1533-position model. The record is from RNAcentral.